GAUGAACGCUGGCGGCGUGCCUAACACAUGCAAGUCGAACGGAGUAUUAUGAAGCUUUCGGGCUGAUUAAUACUUAGUGGCGGACGGGUGAGUAACGCGUGGGUAACCUGCCUCAUACAGGGGGAUAACAGUUGGAAACGGCUGCUAAAACCGCAUAAGCAUACAUUGUCGCAUGGCAGAGUGUGAAAAAUAUUUAUAGGUAUGAGAUGGGCCCGCGUCUGAUUAGCUAGUUGGUAAGGUAACGGCUUACCAAGGCGACGAUCAGUAGCCGGCUUGAGAGAGUGAUCGGCCACAUUGGGACUGAGACACGGCCCAAACUCCUACGGGAGGCAG
This 333-nucleotide ribosomal RNA is filed under the name uncultured bacterium. RNAcentral describes it as "bacterial SSU rRNA". It matches the Rfam family "Bacterial small subunit ribosomal RNA", at positions 28 to 351 of the family's 1533-position model. The record is from RNAcentral.